This 4814-nucleotide unclassified non-coding RNA is filed under the name Hevea brasiliensis (rubber tree). The record is from RNAcentral. Lineage: Eukaryota; Viridiplantae; Streptophyta; Magnoliopsida; Malpighiales; Euphorbiaceae.
CUCUCUCUCUCUCUCUCUCUACAUUCAUAUAAUAUAAAACUGUGUGUAUCGAUCUAUGGAUUAUCGAGGAAAUCUAUAGAUCGAGAAAUGGCGAACUAUUUAGCUCAGUUUCAGACAAUCAAGAAUUAUUGUGAUCAAAUCGUAAUUGCAGUUGAAGAUGUGAGUGAUCUUUGGCCCAAUAUCAAAGAUAGAUUUGAGGAGCAACUGCCAUUCAAAAGAGCUUGUUUGAAUAACAAGACGCGUAACCUUGUGUUUGUGGACAAUCUGCCUGCUGAAUUCAUAUUAACUACAGAUGCAAGGCUUCGUAGUCGAUUUCCUCAGGAGCAAUCAUUAUUCUGGUUUCGAGAACCAUACGCAACUGUGGUUCUUGUUACAUGUGAGGAUCUUGACGAGUUCAAAACCAUCCUUAAACCACGCCUGAAGUUAAUCGUCCAAAAUGACGAACGGGAAUGGUUUAUUGUAUUUGUGUCUAGAGCUCAUCCAAGUAAUGAUAACGCCACCAAAAUGGCAAAAAAAGUAUAUGCCAAGCUUGAAGUUGAUUUUAGCACAAAGAAAAGAGAGAGGUGUUGUAAAUUUGAUAUUCAUGGCCCUGAAGCAAAUUUUUGGGAAGAUUUGGAAUCCAAAAUUAUGGAAUGUGUCAAAAACACAUUGGAUAGGCGUGUACAAUUUUAUGAGGAUGAAAUACGUAAGCUCAGUGAACAGCGCUUCAUGCCAGUUUGGAACUUCUGUAAUUUUUUUAUACUGAAGGAAAGCCUGGCUUUUAUGUUUGAGAUGGCUCAUCUCCAUGAAGAUGCAUUGCGUGAAUACGAUGAAUUAGAACUCUGUUAUCUGGAAACAGUUAAUACGGGUGGGAAGCAGAGAGAAUUUGGAGGACUAGACAGUGGUGAUGAUCAGGCAGCACUGCUCAAUAUUGGAAACAAACCAUUGACACAAAUCGUUCAGGAUGACUCCUUUAGAGAAUUUGAAUUUAGGCAGUAUCUCUUUGCCUGCCAAUCAAAGCUUUUAUUCAAGCUGAAUCGACCCUUUGAGGUUGUAUCAAGGGGUUAUCCAUUUGUAAUCAGCUUUUCUAAGGCCCUUAUACUGCAUGAGAGUACAUUGCCUUUUUGUCUGCGAGAAGUUUGGGUAAUAAGCGCUUGCUUGGCUUUGAUCAAUGCAACUUCUUCUCAUUACAAUGAUGGAUUAGUGGCAUCUGACAUUGAAAAGGAGUUCUACCGUCUUCAGGGUGAUCUUUAUUCAUUAUGUCGAGUUAAGUUCAUGAGGCUUGCAUAUUUAAUUGGAUAUGGAAUGGAUAUAGAAAGAAGUCCAGUCAACAGUGCUUCACUCAGCAUGCUACCUUGGCCUAAACCUGCAGUUUGGCCUUCACUUCCAGCUGAUGCUUCUUCUCAGGUGCUUGAUAAAGAAAAGGUGAUCCUUCAAGCUACUCCUAGAAGUAAGCACUUUGGCAUUCAAAGGAAAUCAUUGCCCCUUGAACCUUCUGUACUUCUGCGGGAGGCAAACCGGCGGAGGGCUUCCCUUUCUGCUGGGAACAUGUUUGAAAUGUUUGAUAGUCGCCCAAGCUUGAUUGAUGGAUCAACUCCAGAUGCUUCACCAUCGACAUCACCCUUGCAAAAAACAAAUACAUUUUCUAUGCCGCGAACAAACUCUUCACCUGGCAAUUUUGACGGGUCAAUGGAUCGACCUAUGAGACUUGCUGAGAUUUAUGUUGCUGCUGAGCAUGCACUUAAGCGUACAAUUUCUAAUGCUGAUCUAUGGAAAUCCUUGUCAUCUUUAGAGGAGUUUGAGCAAAAAUACCUUGAGCUGACCAAAGGUGCUGCUGAUAACUACCAUCAUUCCUGGUGGAAAAGACAUGGAGUGGUCCUUGAUGGUGAAAUAGCUGCAGUUUGCUUCAGGCAUGGAAACUUUGAUCUGGCUGCAAAGUCAUAUGAGAAAGUUUGUGCACUAUAUGCUGGUGAAGGAUGGCAGGAGUUACUGGCUGAUGUCCUGCCAAAUUUAGCUGAGUGUCAGAAGAUGCUAAAUGAUCAAGCUGGCUACUUAUCAUCCUGUGUGAGACUGCUGUCUCUAGACAAAGGUUUAUUCUCAACCAAGGAGCGUCAAGCUUUUCAGGCAGAGGUUGUUCGUCUUGCACACAGUGAGAUGAAGGAUCCUGUGCCUUUAGAUGUCUCAUCAUUAAUCACAUUUUCUGGAAACCUUGGACCACCAUUGGAGUUAUGUGAUGGGGAUCCUGGUACUCUCUCUGUAACUGUUUGGAGUGGCUUUCCUGAUGAUAUAACUCUUGAUUCUCUUAGCCUCACAUUGAUGGCUACAUUUAAUGCUGAUGAAGGUGCUAAGGCAUUAAGGAGCUCUACUGCUACUGUGCUAAAGCCUGGUAGGAACACAAUUACCCUUGCUUUACCCACGCAGAAGCCUGGUUCCUAUGUCUUGGGGGUCCUUACUGGGCAAAUUGGUCAAUUGAGGUUUAGAUCGCAUAGUUUUUCCAAGGGUGGCCCAGCAGACAGUGAUGAUUUUAUGAGUUAUGAAAAGCCAACUAGGCCUAUCUUGAAGGUUUUCAAACCGAGACCUCUGGUUGAUCUCACUGCAGCUGUUUCAUCUGCUUUGCUAAUAAAUGAAACUCAGUGGGUUGGGAUUAUAGUGCGGCCCAUUGACUACUCUCUCAAAGGUUCUGUCUUGCACAUUGAUACUGGUCCAGGUCUGAAGAUUGAAGAGUCACAUGUCAUUGAGAUGGAGAGCUGUGCCAAUGUAUCACAAAGUGCAGCUGACAUUUCAAACAUGAAUGGCACUCAAAAAGAUUGUACUUUGGCCGCUAAUAAAGAGCCUGAGCAAUUAAGCCUUGAUGAUGGUAGAAUAGAAUUUUCAGAUUGGGCAAGUGAUGUGAAUUCUGUUCUUUGGAUCCCUGUUCUUGCUAUCAGUGACACACUUCCAAAAGGAUCAUCUUCAGUCAACCCUCAGAAACAAAGCAUUGUGGAUGGUAUGAGAACAAUAGCAUUGAAACUUGAAUUUGGAGCAUCUCACAACCAGAUAUUUGAAAAAACUAUAGCUGUUCAUUUCACUGACCCUUUCCAUGUGAGCACACGCGUUGCAGAUAAAUGCAAUGAUGGUACUCUGCUUCUGCAGGUGAUACUACACUCCCAAGUGAAAGCCUCAUUGACCAUAUAUGAUGCUUGGCUUGAACUUCAAGAUGGAUUUGUUCACACUGGAAAAGGCAAUGGAAGGCCAACGUCAAGCUUCUUUCCGCUUGUGAUUUCUCCAACCUCAAAAGCGGGAAUCUUGUUCAGUAUUUGCUUAGGGAAGAUGAUUGGUGAAGAUGAAUUAGAGGCACGGAAACCAGAGACAGAGAGCAUAUUAAAUAUCAGAUAUGGAAUUUCUGGUGAGAGAACAAUUGGAGCACACCCUCCUGUGGCUGUGGAAUCAGUUAGACCUGAGGUAGCAAGGCAGGACUUGAUCUUCAAGAGUGCUCUUGUUUUGCAAAGGCCUGUGCUUGACCCAUGCCUAGCUGUUGGUUUUCUUCCUCUUCCAUCGACUGGCCUGAGAGUUGGGCAACUUGUUACCAUGAAGUGGAGGAUUGAAAGAUUGAAGGGUUUUGGAGAUGAUGAAAUAUCUGAACAGAGUGUAAGUUACGAACAAUUAAAAUAAGCUGCACACAAUCCUGGAAUUUCUAAUCCCCUUGGAAAAUAGUUCUCUUCAACCCCCCAACAUCCCCACCACCUCCCCAUCCCCCAACACCCAACCUCCUUUCCUCAGCCUUAUGCUAUUUGGUUGGGCUCAAUAUGAUAGAAGAGGAAAAAGCAAUCAUUCCUCUUAUUUUUCUUCUUCCUGGUUUUCCCAUAUAUCAGUGGAAACCACUGGUUUCAGGCUUAUGAUUCAACUUUUUGUUUUCUUGGUUUUCUUGCCAACUGAAUCAGAAUUUAGCAGAAGUGGAGCAAAACCAUAGUAAUAUCAUAAGACCUACUGUUUUGGGAUGUUCUGGGUGCUGGGUAUCUAAGGACACGCACAGCAAUUAUUUUGUGAUUAUGUGGACUAGGCAAUUCUCACCAUUUUAUGUGAAUUACUUAGAUGUUGUAAAUUAUACCUUUUCAUAAUUAAUAAAUAAAAUGUCAUAUUUGUAACCCGUGCAACAGGGUGAGGUUUUGUAUGAAGUCAGUGCAAAUUCCGAGAAUUGGAUGAUUGCUGGAAGGAAGAGAGGACAUGUUUCACUUUCCACAAAUCAAGGUUCAAGGAUAGUUAUCUCAAUACUAUGUGUGCCACUGGUGGCUGGUUAUGUUCGUCCUCCCCGCCUUGGGCUGCCAAAUGUUGACGAGUCUAAUAUAAGUAACAAUCCUCCUGGGCCUCAUCUGGUUUGUGUCAUGCCCCCUGUUUUGAGCUCCUCCUUUUGCAUCCCAGCAUGAUUGUUUUCAGCUCAUGCAUUCUGGUUGUCCUAGUUUUCCACGAAAAGUGGUUGGAUAGGUUCUUUGCUUCAAGCAAAUUAAAAGUAUCCAGUUUUGCUUACCUUGAAAUCUGUAAAUUUGUAUGUUCACCUAUUGUAGAGAAUCAAGAGAAGUUAGUUUGAGUUGUUCGAAUUUAGUUGCAGCCAGGUGGGUUUUUUGAGUGCUGCCAUCUGCUGUAUAACACUAUUAGUUCCUUAAACAUGUAUAGUUGAAUGCUGUAUGCUUCAUGUACGAGACACAAUGGAAACUGAAAAUCACAUUUUCAUCACCCUUAAAAAUUGUUUGGAUGACAUUUGUUUUGAUACAAAAUUAAGAAAAAAAAAAUUGCAGGUGCUGGAAGUUUGUAUUAUUGAUUACAUGUUAUCUUGUGUUGUAUGCCACGAUGCAUUUAUG